Molecule: ribosomal RNA, 253 nt
Filed under: uncultured bacterium
Lineage: Bacteria
Description: partial 16S ribosomal RNA
Rfam family: Bacterial small subunit ribosomal RNA
Source: RNAcentral
UACAUGGGGUGCAAACGUUGCUCGGAAUUAUUGGGCGUAAAGCGCGCGUAGGCGGUUAUCUAAGUCGGAUGUGAAAGCCCUCGGCUUAACUGAGGAAGUGCACCCGAAACUGGAUAGCUAGAGUACGAAAGAGGGUCGCGGAAUUCCCGGUGUAGAGGUGAAAUUCGUAGAUAUCGGGAGGAACACCGGUGGCGAAGGCGGCGACCUGGUCCGAUACUGACGCUGAGGCGCGAAAGCGUGGGGAGCAAACAGG